This 622-nucleotide ribosomal RNA is filed under the name Salmonella enterica. RNAcentral describes it as "partial 23S ribosomal RNA". It matches the Rfam family "Bacterial large subunit ribosomal RNA", at positions 871 to 1495 of the family's 2925-position model. The record is from RNAcentral. RNAcentral also lists the same sequence under 1 other name. Lineage: Bacteria; Pseudomonadati; Pseudomonadota; Gammaproteobacteria; Enterobacterales; Enterobacteriaceae.
UAGGUAGCGCCUCGUGAAUUCAUCUCCGGGGGUAGAGCACUGUUUCGGCUAGGGGGCCAUCCCGGCUUACCAACCCGAUGCAAACUGCGAAUACCGGAGAAUGUUAUCACGGGAGACACACGGCGGGUGCUAACGUCCGUCGUGAAGAGGGAAACAACCCAGACCGCCAGCUAAGGUCCCAAAGUCAUGGUUAAGUGGGAAACGAUGUGGGAAGGCCCAGACAGCCAGGAUGUUGGCUUAGAAGCAGCCAUCAUUUAAAGAAAGCGUAAUAGCUCACUGGUCGAGUCGGCCUGCGCGGAAGAUGUAACGGGGCUAAACCAUGCACCGAAGCUGCGGCAGCGACACUGUGUGUUGUUGGGUAGGGGAGCGUUCUGUAAGCCUGUGAAGGUGUGUCGUGAGGCAUGCUGGAGGUAUCAGAAGUGCGAAUGCUGACAUAAGUAACGAUAAAGCGGGUGAAAAGCCCGCUCGCCGGAAGACCAAGGGUUCCUGUCCAACGUUAAUCGGGGCAGGGUGAGUCGACCCCUAAGGCGAGGCCGAAAGGCGUAGUCGAUGGGAAACGGGUUAAUAUUCCCGUACUUGGUGUUACUGCGAAGGGGGGACGGAGAAGGCUAUGUUGGCCGGG